UAACCGUUAAUGAUAUUUAUUCAUUCAAACACUGUAGUGGCCGUAGCAUUUUGUUUUAAAUUAUGCUUAGCAGGAAAAGCCAUUGGCUUUGUGGUUGUUCCAAACUUCUGAGUGAUGGUUUCUGCUGACAUAACGAUAAAUCCUUCAAAUCCGCCCGAACAUUUUUUAGUGAAGUCAAACAUUUCCUGCCUAUAAAGCCCCGUCUUGCUGAUGGAAAGAAGCCAGGGCAUGUGUCCGUGUUUACCUCACAGGCACCGGGUCGCAUGCUCCUUUCACGCUGAUGUCAGAUUGGCACGACACAUGGAUCACAUCACAGGGCAAAAACCUCCUAAGCAUUCCACCAGCGCAAGCGUGUUAAAGCUUGUAGAGGUGGAGCGGUCCACCUCAUCUGCUCUCUGCCAGAGCCAGUGUGUGUGAUAAAUGAGAGGAGGCCCGGUCUGCUUACUGAUGCACAGGAGAUACUAAACCAGCACCCCCCCCACCACCAGCCCUCCAUCCACCUCCUCUUCCUCCAUCUUUCAGCUUCAUCUAU
Molecule: long non-coding RNA, 532 nt
Organism: Carassius carassius (crucian carp)
Lineage: Eukaryota; Metazoa; Chordata; Actinopteri; Cypriniformes; Cyprinidae
Exons: 4
Source: RefSeq, a predicted model, not a curated record